This 468-nucleotide ribosomal RNA is filed under the name uncultured bacterium. RNAcentral describes it as "partial 16S ribosomal RNA". It matches the Rfam family "Bacterial small subunit ribosomal RNA", at positions 28 to 507 of the family's 1533-position model. The record is from RNAcentral.
GAUGAACGCUGGCGGCGUGCUUAACACAUGCAAGUCGAACGGUGAAGGCGUAGCUUGCUCUGCUGGAUCAGUGGCUAACGGGUGCGUAACACUUGAUCAAUCUUCCCCUGACUCUGGGAUAAGCGCUGGAAACGGCGUCUAAUACUGGAUACGAGCUGCGAAUGCAUCUUCAGCAGCUUGAAAGAACUUCGGUCAGGGAUGAGCUCGCGGCCUAUCAGCUUGUUGGUGAGUUAACGGCUCACCAAGGCGUCGACGGGUAGCCGGCCUGAGAGGGUGACCGGCCACACUGGGACUGAGACACGGACCAGAAGCCUACGGGAGGCAGCAGUGGGGAAUAUUGCACAAUGGGCGAAAGCCUGAUGCAGAAACGCCGCGUGAGGGACGACGGCCUUCGGGUUGUAAACCUCUUUUAGCAGGGAAGAAGCGAAAGUGACGGUACCUGCAGAAAAAGCGCAGGCUAAAUAAGUG